UGGUUCUGGCAUCGAUGAAGAACGCAGCGAAAUGCGAUAAGUAGUGUGAAUUGCAGAAUUCAGUGAAUCAUCGAAUCUUUGAACGCACAUUGCGCCCCUUGGUAUUCCAUGGGGCAUGCCUGUUCGAGCGUCAUUUGUACCUUCAAGCUCUGCUUGGUGUUGGGUGUUUGUCCCGCCUUUGUGCGCGGACUCGCCUUAAAGCAAUUGGCAGCCGGCGUAUAGAUUUCGGAGCGCAGCACAAUCCGCGCUUUGUACUCAUUACGACGACAUCCAUCAAGACAUUUUUUAACUCUUGACCUCGGAUCAGGUAGGGAUACCCGCUGA
RNAcentral lists this unclassified non-coding RNA (324 nucleotides) under uncultured fungus. RNAcentral's name for it is "partial contains 5.8S ribosomal RNA and internal transcribed spacer 2". The stretch from base 1 to 133 matches the Rfam family "5.8S ribosomal RNA", at positions 22 to 154 of the family's 154-position model. The record is from RNAcentral. Lineage: Eukaryota; Fungi.